AUUGAACGCUGGCGGUAGGCCUAACACAUGCAAGUCGAACGGCAGCACAGUAAGAGCUUGCUCUUACGGGUGGCGAGUGGCGGACGGUUGAGGAAUACAUCGGAAUCUACUUUUUCGUGGGUGAUAACGUAGGGAAACUUACGCUAAUACCGCAUACGGCCUACGGGUGAAAGCAUGGGAUCUUCGGACCUUGCGCGAUUGAAUGAGCCGAUGUCGGAUUAGCUAGUUGGCGGGGUAAAGGCCCACCAAGGCGACGAUCCGUAGCUGGUCUGAGAGGAUGAUCAGCCACACUGGAACUGAGACACGGUCCAGACUCCUACGGGAGGCAGCAGUGGGGAAUAUUGGACAAUGGGCGAAAGCCUGAUCCAGCCAUACCGCGUGGGUGAAGAAGGCCUUCGGGUUGUAAAGCCCUUUUGUUGGGAAAGAAGAGCAGCAGGUUAAUACCCCGCUGUUCUGACGGUACCAAAAGAAUAAGCACCGGCUAACUUCGUG
Molecule: ribosomal RNA, 492 nt
Filed under: uncultured bacterium
Lineage: Bacteria
Description: partial 16S ribosomal RNA
Rfam family: Bacterial small subunit ribosomal RNA
Source: RNAcentral